GGAAGUGAGGGCAAUCUGGCUGCGACAUCUGUCACCCCACUAAUUACCGGUGUUGAUUCAGCUGAUCUGGCUGGCUAGGAGAGUGUCCUCUUCCUCCCUCAGCACUCCAUGUGUGUCCCUCUCGAAGCUGCACUCUCAGUUGAAGAUGCUGAUCAUCCCUGAUAGGGGAGGCCUGGCCUUCUUCGGUCAAGGGUAUAUGAGUAGCUACACUCCACUGCUAGAACCUCCAAACAAGCCCUCAAGAAGGAGUGAUUUAUACUCACCAGUUUACAAAAUACUUUGCUAUACAAGUUAGGCAAGUUGAGUGAGAUGAUCUAUAAGCCAUUACU
Molecule: unclassified non-coding RNA, 329 nt
Organism: Cebus imitator (Panamanian white-faced capuchin)
Lineage: Eukaryota; Metazoa; Chordata; Mammalia; Primates; Cebidae
Gene: 7SK
Rfam family: 7SK RNA
About the family: 7SK was discovered as an abundant small nuclear RNA in the mid-70s but a possible function has only recently been suggested. Two independent studies have found that 7SK RNA binds the CDK9/cyclin T complex (known as elongation factor P-TEFb). P-TEFb activates transcription by phosphorylating the C-terminal domain of RNA polymerase II.
Source: Ensembl